Molecule: ribosomal RNA, 254 nt
Filed under: uncultured bacterium
Lineage: Bacteria
Description: partial 16S ribosomal RNA
Rfam family: Bacterial small subunit ribosomal RNA
Source: RNAcentral
UACGGUAGGGCGCAAGCGUUGUCCGGAAUUAUUGGGCGUAAAGAGCUCGUAGGCGGCUUGUCACGUCGGGUGUGAAAGCCCGGGGCUUAACCCCGGGUCUGCAUUCGAUACGGGCAGGCUAGAGUGUGGUAGGGGAGAUCGGAAUUCCUGGUGUAGCGGUGAAAUGCGCAGAUAUCAGGAGGAACACCGGUGGCGAAGGCGGAUCUCUGGGCCAUUACUGACGCUGAGGAGCGAAAGCGUGGGGAGCGAACAGG